Long non-coding RNA from Procambarus clarkii (red swamp crayfish), 1649 nucleotides. RefSeq lists it as uncharacterized. The record is from RefSeq and is a predicted model, not a curated record. NCBI's taxonomy places the organism in Eukaryota, Metazoa, Arthropoda, Malacostraca, Decapoda, Cambaridae.
UAUGAUUCUUGUAGUUUCUUGAGGAAUCAUCAUUUCUAGUGGCCGCGACAGGAAGCCGAUCGAUUGUUAAAGGUCUCCCCAUUAUUCCUGAGUAAUUUUUAUUGCUUAUUUUUAAGCUGAAGUAUUGUCUCCGUUUUAUUACGACUUUGGCAAGUAGGCUGUUCCACGGGAUUUAUUUCCUUGCGGGUGAAAGGAUCUGUUUUCUGUCCUACAUUGAAGCUUGUUGAGCUUGAAGCUGUUGCUCCUUGUAUAUGUUACAUUGAACCCUAGAACGAAGUGGUCUGGAGUAAUAUCCUCCAACUUGUUCAAUAUUUUAUCUCGAAAAAAAAUCAACCUGGUCAUGUUCGGCUUGAAGUGAGAAUGUCCUUAUAGCGCAGUGGUAAAACGCUCGCCCGGCGCUUAUACCGGGCUUCGUAUCCUGGCCGGGAAAGGAUUGACUGAGCGCUAAUCCUUAACUGUAGCCUCUGUUUACCCCAGCAGUGAAUGUAAACGAUUUGGAGAGUCGUAUUCCUGGGAAAAUUAAGAUAAAGGAUCUGCCCGAAACGCUAUGCGCGCUAGUGACUUUACAAGACUGUAAGAACUCUUGUAUGUUAGUCCUUAUGCCCUCCACUGUUCUUAGUAUGAUAAUUAACUUAGUUCUGGGAUGAUUUUUGUAUUCUGUCUCCCAUCCAUUUGCUUGCUGGUCGGUGCAGGGUCUGCGUUCAAUUCUGAAUGUCCAAACUGUGUAAGGUACCUCCAUGUGAACCUGUGUGUAUUUGACGGCGGAGUUUCCGUGUGCGUACUUCUGGUGGGAAGGAGGCGUGGGGUUUGAACCAGGGUCGACUUCCUGAAGUUCCUGGAGACAGUUUCCCAGCCAAGAGCUGAGAGGACGGAGGUUCUCCCGACGCUGCUGCUGCUGCUGGCGUUCGCCGCCACCCGCACCUCUACAUACUCCUCGCGGCUCCAUGGUUCACAGUGACAAGAGGAAGCGAUCGUGGUAGCUGACAGAGGCGGAACCGUACUAGGAACAACCUCAACAAGGCCGAUAGGUGCCUCCCACAGCCAUGUUACCUAUCAUCCAGGUCAUCCUGCUGCGUCUGUUUCUUCUGCCGACGCUGAUGCUCCUUCCUGGAAUUGCUGUGGAAGGUGGUCUAAUGAUGGGCAACGGCCGACUACGGAACCCGGAAAUGUGGAUGCUCGCCCAGAGAGACCACACAGCACCCAAGGAAUCGCAGACACUUGAGAAGCAACAUGUAGGUGCUUCUCACCCACAGACGUCGAAGCAUCCUCCGCCUGUACUGGGGCAGGAGACAGCCCCAUCCCUGAGGUCAGCCGGGGUCACCCUGUGGCUGCUAGAAACGCUGGUCAUGCAAAUAUAUAGAGUUUUCUUAACAAGAUACCCUUCAAAAUCUUCUGCAGUCCGGCCCGCGACUAUUGACCAGUCUAACUGGAAGACCCUUGACCUCUCAGGUGUGACAGGCGGCAGAGGGUUAGAGGUCAACCGGCAAAUUAUACCGAUCACUUCUUUCGAUACUUGGCUGUUGGCGUUCCAGGAAACCUUCAAGAGGGACAUGAUUUUCAACACGGUGAGAGUAGGAGGAUUAAUUUUGCUAUACUAUUUUGCUCCAGAUCUUUUCAAAUUGAUACAUAAUAGAAACGAAUUAGGGUGA